UGCCGCCUGCCCAGUGAAUAUAUUUUUAACGGCCGCGGUAUCCUAACCGUGCAAAGGUAGCGUAAUCACUUGUCCUCUAAUUAAGGACUAGCAUGAAUGGCUAAAUGAGGGCCCAACUGUCUCGUACGAUUACCCAAUGAACCUGAUCUCCCAGUACAAAAGCUGGGAUACUCACACAAGACGAGAAGACCCUGUGGAACUUUAAUAUCUCUGCCGAUUAGACCUCCAACCAGCCAACAGGUUGCCCAUGCCCCCCCCCCCCAUCGGCAGAAAAUUUAAGUUGGGGCAACUACGGAGCAAAACAAAACCUCCGCGAACCCAGCCCCCAGGUCCACUAACCAGGGGAUAGUAUUUACCUUCGACCCAGUAUUACUGACCACCGAACCAAGCUACCCCAGGGAUAACAGCGCAAUCCCCUUCAAGAGUCCCUAUCGCCAAGGGGGCUUACGACCUCGAUGUUGGAUCAGGGCCCCCCAGUGGUGUAGCCGCUA
This 491-nucleotide ribosomal RNA is filed under the name Ptyodactylus oudrii. Its description in RNAcentral is "partial 16S ribosomal RNA". It matches the Rfam family "Archaeal large subunit ribosomal RNA", at positions 1945 to 2633 of the family's 2987-position model. Lineage: Eukaryota; Metazoa; Chordata; Lepidosauria; Squamata; Phyllodactylidae. The record is from RNAcentral.